Molecule: long non-coding RNA, 1424 nt
Filed under: Homo sapiens (human)
Lineage: Eukaryota; Metazoa; Chordata; Mammalia; Primates; Hominidae
Description: non-protein coding SLC14A2-AS1:1
Source: RNAcentral
UAGACCUUGUCCUGUCCAUCUCCUUCAAUGUACAGGAAAGGACAGUGAAGACAGGGAGCUCAAGUGACCUCCUCCAGGGUAUAUAGCUGAAUUCAACUGUCCAGAUAGAAAGGUGGACAUGGAAAAAUUGGGCUUUGCAAAUGGUCACCCAAUUCUUGCCUUCCUGGUCUCCAGAUCACCCUUCCUAUACCGCCACUCUGGAGAAAGAAGUACAGAACGCUAACAAGCUAGAUACAGAGGACCUAACAUACAACUCAGAGUCCCUAGAAGAUGGAGAAAACACAGACAAUUGGCAGAGGAGAUGAGCAUGUGAUUAUUGUUACCACUUGUCUGGAAGCAACCAGAAUGGAGUGGGGAAGACUCAAGGAGGAGAUCUUCACAGGACUCACCUCUCAUCACAGCUCCCGUGUGGUUGUAAUCACCCCAGAGGGAAAAAUAAUUUCGGUUUUUUAUGGUUUAAUUAUUGGUGAUAGCAGCUGUUUUGAAGACACAAACACAGAAGCAAGUUCUAGAACAUACUCACAGUUUCCUUGGUCACAGUGUUGUCAGUGGUUCUAUAAAGGUCUUAUGAAUCUCUACUUAGUUGACCACAAGUAGUAAGCAAGAAACAAUCCUGUAAAGAGAAUGGAGGUCAGAAUAAAGAAGCCUUGAGGGUUUAAAUCGCUUCUUGAAAAGAAAUGCCCGUGUGUCAAGGAGCUAAGGGAGACCAGCCCAGGAGGAGCUGAAUCCUGCCAACAAUCACUUGAGUGAACUUGAGAGUGAAUCCUCUCCAUGUUAAGCCUUGAGUGAAAGCGGAAUACCUGGUUAUCCGGAGGUCACUGUCUCCACACAGAGUGGUGUCCUUGAUGCUAGCUUGGGGCAAAGAAGCCAGGCAAUCAAGGCUUUAAAUGCGUGGAUUUAUCAUCACCUCAAAUCGCCUGUCACUGUGAUGGAACAAAAAUAGAAAGUUGGGCUAAUAUCUUCCUGCUAGCAUGUUUCCAUCUGUGAGUUUGAUCAAAGCAACUUUAUCUGCGAAAUUUUGAAGAAUCAGCUUCAUCUCCACUUGGCAGCAUGUGGUAAAUGAAGGUAUUUCUGGAAAUCCCAUCUUCCCAGAAUUCAGCUAGGAUCCAGAAGUGAUGCUGUUACGUGACGUCUUCAACCUCCCUCCCUCUGCCCAUCUCAGGGACCUCUCCAGAAGCCAGUCCCAAGAGUGGCAUUGGUUAGCAUAUCUCAAAUACAGUGGGAGAAGCCUCUUAGCUCAGCUCCAGUUAUUUCUCUAUUGUAGAAAACCAAGAGAGAGAUGAAUAAGGAAUGAAAACAUACUCCACAUGGACUCAAUAAAUCUUGGGUGAAAUGAUGCUGUCUGACAAGGUAAAUAAAAAAUGCAGCACUCAAGCACCAGCACUGGGGAUGAGAUGAGGACACACCAAUUACCAGCACUUCUG